This 500-nucleotide ribosomal RNA is filed under the name uncultured bacterium. RNAcentral's name for it is "bacterial SSU rRNA". It matches the Rfam family "Bacterial small subunit ribosomal RNA", at positions 28 to 524 of the family's 1533-position model. The record is from RNAcentral.
GACGAACGCUGGCGGCGCGCUUAAUACAUGCAAGUCGAACGAGAAGGUGUAGCAAUACACUUGUAAAGUGGCGAACGGGUGAGGAAUACAUGGGUAACCUACCCUCGAGUGGGGAACAACCAGCCGAAAGGUUGGCUAAUACCGCGUACGCUUCCGGGUCUUCGGAUUCGGAAGGAAAGUCAUACCGUGGGUAUGACGCUCAAGGAUGGGCUCAUGUCCUAUCAGCUUGUUGGUAGGGUAACGGCCACCAAGGCUCCGACGGGUAGCUGGUCUGAGAGGACGAUCAGCCACACUGGCACUGCGACACGGGCCAGACUCCUACGGGAGGCAGCAGUAAGGAAUAUUGCGCAAUGGGCGAAAGCCUGACGCAGCGACGCCGCGUGGGGAUGAAGGUCUUCGGAUUGUAAACCCCUUUCGGGAGGGAAAAUGGAACGAGCAAUCGUUCGGAUGGUACCUCCAGAAGCAGCCACGGCUAACUUCGUGCCAGCAGCCGCAGUAAG